This 2898-nucleotide ribosomal RNA is filed under the name Streptococcus thermophilus. RNAcentral's name for it is "ribosomal RNA 23s ribosomal RNA". It matches the Rfam family "Bacterial large subunit ribosomal RNA". The record is from RNAcentral. Lineage: Bacteria; Bacillati; Bacillota; Bacilli; Lactobacillales; Streptococcaceae.
UUAAGUUAAUAAGGGCGCACGGUGGAUGCCUUGGCACUAGAAGCCGAUGAAGGACGUGACUAACGACGAAAUGCUUUGGGGAGCUGUAAGUGAGCAAUGAUCCAGAGAUGUCCGAAUGGGGAAACCCGGCAGGUAAUGCCUGUCACUCAUUACUGUUAAGGUAAUGUAGAGGAAGACGCAGUGAACUGAAACAUCUAAGUAGCUGUAGGAAGAGAAAGCAAAAGCGAUUGCCUUAGUAGCGGCGAGCGAAACGGCAAGAGGGCAAACCGAAGAGUUUACUCUUCGGGGUUGUAGGACUGCAACGUGGACUUAAAGAUUAUAGAAGAACUACCUGGGAAGGUAGGCCAAAGAGAGUAAUAGCCUCGUAUUCGAAAUAGUCUUUAUACCUAGCAGUAUCCUGAGUACGGCGAGACACGAGAAAUCUCGUUGGAAUCUGGGAGGACCAUCUCCCAACCCUAAAUACUCUCUAGUGACCGAUAGUGAACCAGUACCGUGAGGGAAAGGUGAAAAGCACCCCGGGAGGGGAGUGAAAUAGAACCUGAAACCGUGUGCCUACAACAAGUUCGAGCCCGUUAAUGGGUGAGAGCGUGCCUUUUGUAGAAUGAACCGGCGAGUUACGAUAUGAUGCGAGGUUAAGUUGAAGAGACGGAGCCGUAGGGAAACCGAGUCUUAAUAGGGCGCAUUAGUAUCAUGUCGUAGACCCGAAACCAUGUGACCUACCCAUGAGCAGGUUGAAGGUGAGGUAAAACUCACUGGAGGACCGAACCAGUGCACGUUGAAAAGUGCUUGGAUGACUUGUGGGUAGCGGAGAAAUUCCAAACGAACUUGGAGAUAGCUGGUUCUCUCCGAAAUAGCUUUAGGGCUAGCGUCGAUGUUAAGUCUCUUGGAGGUAGAGCACUGUUUGGGUGAGGGGUCCAUCCCGGAUUACCAAUCUCAGAUAAACUCCGAAUGCCAAUGAGAUAUAAUCGGCAGUCAGACUGCGAGUGCUAAGAUCCGUAGUCGAAAGGGAAACAGCCCAGACCACCAGCUAAGGUCCCAAAAUAUAUGUUAAGUGGAAAAGGAUGUGGGGUUGCACAGACAACUAGGAUGUUAGCUUAGAAGCAGCUAUUCAUUCAAAGAGUGCGUAAUAGCUCACUAGUCGAGUGACCCUGCGCCGAAAAUGUACCGGGGCUAAAACAUAUUACCGAAGCUGUGGAUACCUUUAUAGGUAUGGUAGGAGAGCGUUCUAUGUGCGAAGAAGGUGUACCGUGAGGAGUGCUGGAGCGCAUAGAAGUGAGAAUGCCGGUAUGAGUAGCGAAAGACAGGUGAGAAUCCUGUCCACCGUAAGACUAAGGUUUCCAGGGGAAGGCUCGUCCGCCCUGGGUUAGUCGGGACCUAAGGAGAGACCGAAAGGUGUAUCCGAUGGACAACAGGUUGAUAUUCCUGUACUAGAGUAUAUAGUGAUGGAGGGACGCAGUAGGCUAACUAAACCAGACGAUUGGAAGUGUCUGGCCAAGCAGUGAGGUGUGAUAUGAGUCAAAUGCUUAUAUCUUUAACAUUGAGCUGUGAUGGGGAGCGAAGUUUAGUAGCGAAGUUAGUGAUGUCACACUGCCGAGAAAAGCUUCUAGCGUUAAUUAUACUCUACCCGUACCGCAAACCGACACAGGUAGUCGAGGCGAGUAGCCUCAGGUGAGCGAGAGAACUCUCGUUAAGGAACUCGGCAAAAUGGCCCCGUAACUUCGGGAGAAGGGGCGCUGACUGAUGGUCAGCCGCAGUGAAAAGGCCCAAGCAACUGUUUAUCAAAAACACAGCUCUCUGCUAAAUCGUAAGAUGAUGUAUAGGGGGUGACGCCUGCCCGGUGCUGGAAGGUUAAGAGGAGUGCUUAGCGUAAGCGAAGGCAUGAAUUGAAGCCCCAGUAAACGGCGGCCGUAACUAUAACGGUCCUAAGGUAGCGAAAUUCCUUGUCGGGUAAGUUCCGACCCGCACGAAAGGCGUAAUGAUUUGGGCACUGUCUCAACGAGAGACUCGGUGAAAUUUUAGUACCUGUGAAGAUGCAGGUUACCCGCGACAGGACGGAAAGACCCCAUGGAGCUUUACUGCAGUUUGAUAUUGAGUAUCUGUACCACAUGUACAGGAUAGGUAGGAGCCUAUGACCUCGGGACGCCAGUUUCGAGUGAGGCGUUGUUGGGAUACUACCCUUGUGUUAUGGCUACUCUAACCCAGAUAGGUUAUCCCUAUCGGGGACAGUGUCUGACGGGCAGUUUGACUGGGGCGGUCGCCUCCUAAAAGGUAACGGAGGCGCCCAAAGGUUCCCUCAGAAUGGUUGGAAAUCAUUCGCAGAGUGUAAAGGUAUAAGGGAGCUUGACUGCGAGAGCUACAACUCGAGCAGGGACGAAAGUCGGGCUUAGUGAUCCGGUGGUUCCGUAUGGAAGGGCCAUCGCUCAACGGAUAAAAGCUACCCUGGGGAUAACAGGCUUAUCUCCCCCAAGAGUUCACAUCGACGGGGAGGUUUGGCACCUCGAUGUCGGCUCGUCGCAUCCUGGGGCUGUAGUCGGUCCCAAGGGUUGGGCUGUUCGCCCAUUAAAGCGGCACGCGAGCUGGGUUCAGAACGUCGUGAGACAGUUCGGUCCCUAUCCGUCGCGGGCGUAGGAAAUUUGAGAGGAUCUGCUCCUAGUACGAGAGGACCGGAGUGGACUUACCGCUGGUGUACCAGUUGUUCUGCCAAGAGCAUCGCUGGGUAGCUAUGUAGGGAAGGGAUAAACGCUGAAAGCAUCUAAGUGUGAAGCCCACCUCAAGAUGAGAUUUCCCAUGAUUUUAUAUCAGUAAGAGCCCUGAGAGAUGAUCAGGUUGAUAGGUUAGAAGUGGAAGUGUGGUGACACAUGUAGCGGACUAAUACUAAUAGCUCGAGGACUUAUCCAA